ACAUUCCAGAACAUUCCGGAACAUUCCAGAACAUUCCCAUUCCAUCCACCUGGGAUCCCUGGGAACAUCCCAGAACAUUCCGGAACAUCCCGGAACAUUCCCAUUCCUGCCCCACCUGGGAUCCCUGGGAACAUCCCAGAACAUUCCGGAACAUCCCGGAACAUUCCCAUUCCUGCCCCACCUGGGAUCCCUGGGAACAUCCCGGAACAUUCCGGAACAUUCCCAUUCCUGCCCCACCUGGGAGCCCUGGGAACAUCCCGGAACAUCCCGGAACAUUCCGGAACAUUCCCAUUGCAUCCACCGGGGAUCCCUGGGAACAUCCCGGAACAUUCCAGAACAUCCCGGAACAUUCCGGAACAUUCCCAUUGCAUCCACCUGGGAUCCCUGGGAACAUCCCGGAACAUUCCAGAACAUUCCGGAACAUUCCCAUUGCAUCCACCUGGGAUCCCUGGGAACAUCCCGGAACAUCCCGGAACAUUCCGGAACAUUCCCAUUCCUGCCCCACCUGGGAUCCCUGGGAACAUCCCGGAACAUUCCAGAACAUUCCGGAACAUUCCAGAACAUUCCCAUUCCAUCCACCUGGGAUCCCUGGGAACAUCCCGGAACAUUCCAGAACAUCCCGGAACAUUCCGGAACAUUCCCAUUCCAGCCCCACCUGGGAUCCCUGGGAACAUCCCGGAACAUUCCGGAACAUUCCCAUUCCUGCUCCACCUGGGAUCCCUGGGAACAUUCCGGAACAUUCCAGAACAUUCCGGAACAUUCCCAUUGCAUCCACCUGGGAUCCCUGGGAACAUCCCGGAACAUUCCGGAACAUUCCCAUUGCAUCCACCUGGGAUCCCUGGGAACAUCCCAGACCAUUCCGGAACAUUCCGGACCGUUCCCAUUCCCGCUCUUCUCCUUUUCCCAGGAAUUCCUGAAGGCGGAACCUCCGGACGCGCUCCGGACGCGGCUCCGGCAGCGAGCGCUCGACGCCUGCUCCCACCUCCUGUAUCCCACAAUUCCCGGAAUUCCCAAAAUUCCCACAAUUCCCGAGCCGUGUUUUCCUUCCCUCUUUUUUUCCCAAUUUUUCCCGGAUUUUCCUGGUUUUUCCCUCUCAUUUUUCCCUUUACUUUUUCCCAGCUUUUUCCCUUUUUUUCCCCAUUUUUUUCCUCUAAUUUUCCUGGUUUUUUCCUCUUUUUCCCAUUCCCUUUUUUUCCCCAUUUUUUUCCUCUAAUUUUCCUGGUUUUUUCCUCUUUUUCCCAAUUUUUCCCUGUUUUUUCCUCUCUUUCUUCCCAUUUUUUUCCCAUUUUUUCCCUCUUUUUUCUCCCAUUUUGCCAUCUUUCUUCCCUCUUUUUCCUCUCAUUUUUCCCAUUUUUUCCUCUUAUUUUUUCCAGCUUUUUCCCUUUUUUUCCCCAUUUUUUUCCUCUAAUUUUCCUGGUUUUUUCCUCUUUUUCCCAAUUUUUCCUGGUUUUUUUCCUCUUUCUUCCCAAUUUUUCCCGGUUUUUUCCUCUCUUUCUUCCCAUUUUUUUCCCAUUUUUUCCCUCUUUUUUCUCUCAUUUUUCCAUCUUUU
RNAcentral lists this long non-coding RNA (1549 nucleotides) under Cyanistes caeruleus (blue tit). RNAcentral describes it as "lncRNA (ENSCCEG00000004583.1)". The record is from RNAcentral. Lineage: Eukaryota; Metazoa; Chordata; Aves; Passeriformes; Paridae.